RNAcentral lists this transfer RNA (79 nucleotides) under Sphaerodactylus townsendi. Its description in RNAcentral is "tRNA-Thr". It matches the Rfam family "tRNA". Rfam says of the family: Transfer RNA (tRNA) molecules are approximately 80 nucleotides in length. Their secondary structure includes four short double-helical elements and three loops (D, anti-codon, and T loops). The record is from RNAcentral. Lineage: Eukaryota; Metazoa; Chordata; Lepidosauria; Squamata; Sphaerodactylidae.
GCAGUCAUGGCUCAGUGGUAGAGCAUUUGCUUUGUAUGCAAGAAGUGAUGUCCCAGGUUUAAUCCCUCACAUGUCUGGA